This 567-nucleotide long non-coding RNA is filed under the name Homo sapiens (human). Its description in RNAcentral is "OSGEPL1 antisense RNA 1". The record is from RNAcentral. Lineage: Eukaryota; Metazoa; Chordata; Mammalia; Primates; Hominidae.
GCUAGCGAGCGGCAUGCUUAGUGAAGAAAAGCUUAAAGGCCGUCUUUGCCCAAAACGCUCUCUGUGCGCACCUGCAUUUCCCCCAGAUUUGCAGAUGGAGUCUCACUCUGUUGCCAGGCUGGAGUGCAGUGGUGCCAUCUCAGCUCACUACAACCUCCACCUCCGGGGUUCAAGCGAUUCUCCUGCCUCAGCCUUCCGAGUAGCUGGGACUACAGGUGCCUGCCACCAUUCCCAGUUAAUUUUUGUAUUUUUAGUAGAGAUGACAUUUCACUAUGUUGGCCAGGCUGGUUUUGAACUCCUGACCUCGUGAUCCACCUGCCUCAGCUUCCCAAAGUGCUGGGAUUACAGGCAUGAGCCACCACGCCUGGCCCAAAUCCUAUUUUUCAAUAUUUAUUUCCUAAUUAUGUCCUACUAGGUUAGGUUUUAUUUUCAUUUGUUACAUAUUUAUUGGGUUAUUUCCUUUAUGCUAGGAACUUUAUUAGUAUAAGGAUACAGAUAAGGUCCAUUCUCUGUUCUCAAGAAUCUGAGUCUACAGGCAGAAGACAAAAUGCAGUACAGAAUUAUGGA